RNAcentral lists this ribosomal RNA (287 nucleotides) under uncultured Methylomirabilota bacterium. Its description in RNAcentral is "uncultured candidate division NC10 bacterium partial 16S ribosomal RNA". It matches the Rfam family "Bacterial small subunit ribosomal RNA", at positions 1061 to 1345 of the family's 1533-position model. The record is from RNAcentral. Lineage: Bacteria; Methylomirabilota (SeqCode).
CGUGUCGUGAGAUGUUGGGUUAAGUCCCGCAACGAGCGCAACCCUCACCUCUUGUUGCCAUCAGGUCAUGCUGGGCACUCUAGAGGAACUGCCCCGGUCAACGGGGAGGAAGGCGGGGAUGACGUCAAGUCAUCAUUCCCCUUACGUCCUGGGCUACACACGUGCUACAAUGGCCGGUACAAAGGGAUGCCACACCGCGAGGUAGAGCUAAACCCAAAAAGCCGGUCUAAGUUCAGAUUGGAGUACUGCAACUUCGACUCCAUGAAGGAGGAAUCGCUAGUAAUCGC